GCAACUGGAGCGGCGAUGGUAGCCGUUGCGGCGACAGCGUCAUCGGAAGUCUCUCAAAUGGCUCCAGGACAGGUUCAUUCCUCAAUUUGUUUUUUUCCUGCUGGCGCUCCUUCUCAAUUCCAAACAAAACAACAGGGGCACGUUAUCAUUGUAGCUGGAAUUGUAAUCCGCGAAUCAGAAGGUUUAAGAAGGAUUGUCCUUGAUGUAGCUUGAGCGAAAGUUGACAAAUGCGUGGACAGGAUCUAGGUUUGAAACUCAGGAACUUUUGUAAGAGGCAUCAUAUUGCACUACAAUGCCUUCUCCUGAUAUUUCUCUAAGAAAGUAGUUCUUGCUUGUUCAUUUUGGUUGGGGGUGGCAGGGCAUGAAGGGGGCAGGAGCUGAGGUGCAACUACCUGAAUUAAUGGUUAGAGUCGAACAACAUUCUUCUCUUGAAUCUCAGAAUUAUGUGUGCUGGAAACUCGCGCACUAAGCCUCCCUAUUGUAACGCUCUCGGCGGUCUCAGGAUUUGCCCAUUUUGAUUUGGUGGUCAUAUGAAUCCGAAGCAGUCACAAUAUGGUUCAUUGAUUAAAGAUCUCACUCAUCAGACAGCAAUAAGAGUGCUCAGUGCCUGAAGAUGCCCAAAGUUGUUUCAGUUUCCCUACUUUUUCGCGCUAUUUUGUUAUGUCAUCCUCUCUUUCAAUAUUCAGAGGAAACUCUUUCAGGCAAUCGCAAAAGCGUUCCUGAUCAUACUAGUUUCUAUUCUUGGGUGUAUCUUCUUUGAUUCGGAUUUUGGUUCCACUGACCAUGGAGUUUAUUUUCAAUCCACAGACAGAGUUUAUGGUGGACAUGGAGUGCGACGGGUGCGUCAAGUCAGUGCGCACCAAAUUAGAGCCCCUUACUGGUAACGUGCAUGGCUGUAUUCAUUGUUCUUGUUUUAGAAUAUAUUAAUUGAAGCUUUCUAUCUAUUCUGAACACGGUAGCGUGAAAUUACGUGGUUCAUGCGAUGCUUGAGGCAGCCAGUAAUCUACGAUCUCAUUGUUCAAGGAACUUGAGGAUUGAAACUCAUGCAAGUCGUAUAACCGUCUCGAGUUCAGGUGU
Molecule: long non-coding RNA, 1077 nt
Filed under: Physcomitrium patens
Lineage: Eukaryota; Viridiplantae; Streptophyta; Bryopsida; Funariales; Funariaceae
Description: long non-coding RNA (PPAT_LNC012197)
Source: RNAcentral